ACCCAGCCAAUCGUCACCUACACAGCUCCGGACAGCUUCCUUGUCAAUACAGCGAGCAGAGCGGGCAGCCGGCGCCCACGAUCACCAGAGAAUCGCUGAUCACCUGUACACUAAUAGAGGCUGGGAGAUGGAUACAGCAAAUAAGCACGCUCCCUCACUGACCGCUAUCAUAUCUGAAACAGCCUCGUCAGUCUGCCAAAGGCUGCAGCGAGUUGGCUGGUCACUAACCGACAUCUGUGAAACAUUGCCACACAGCAGUGCAGAAAUGAAAAGUGGUGUAAGAUUGAAUUGUCCUUGGGCCCUCCCUCCCACCCUUAUGUUGGAUAUUAAAAAGGACAUGCACAGUGUAAAAAGCCAAGCACUUCAGUGAUAGGGACUGACACUUUUGUGGUUGAAGUGCUUGCUUUGUUUGGGCUCUCACAGAACAAUUUUUUGGAAGGACUACCACCGAUUACAAAUGAGGAGGUUGAUGAUGAGGAUGUUAAUUAUGACACCCACCGACCCAGAUUUUCAUGAUACUUUGUACACUUGAUACUACCACAUAGAUACUAAUCCAUGUCAAAUUUUUCUUCUCUAGGCCUCAAAGUUUUCGAGAUACAGUAUAGGGCAGAGCUGACCAAACCAGUCCUCGAGAUCUACCAACAGUUCACAUUUUCCAGACCUCCUAGCUGGUGCACAGGUGUAGUAAUUACUAAUUAAGAUGUGCUGCAUUCAUUCCUAACUGACAAUUCUAUAAAUCUCCAGGAGGCCUGGAAAACAUGAACUGUUUGUAGAUCUCGAGGACCGGUUUGGCCAGCCCUGGUAUAGGGGGUCAAAGUUUCGAAAAAUUGCUGGGAAAUGCCACUCCUGAUACUCCAUUUUUUCUGAGGUGUAUCUAUAAAAAAAUUCACAUCCCAGUGCCUAAUCCAUGUAUCACUUUGAAAUUUUGACCCUUUGUCAAUCAAAAUAUGGAGA
This is a long non-coding RNA of Pseudophryne corroboree (corroboree frog), 954 nucleotides long. RefSeq lists it as uncharacterized. NCBI's taxonomy places the organism in Eukaryota, Metazoa, Chordata, Amphibia, Anura, Myobatrachidae. The record is from RefSeq and is a predicted model, not a curated record. The transcript is spliced from 3 exons.